RNAcentral lists this ribosomal RNA (500 nucleotides) under uncultured bacterium. Its description in RNAcentral is "partial 16S ribosomal RNA". It matches the Rfam family "Bacterial small subunit ribosomal RNA", at positions 30 to 523 of the family's 1533-position model. The record is from RNAcentral.
AUUGAACGCUGGCGGCAUGCCUUACACAUGCAAGUCGAACGGCAGCGCGGACUUCGGUCUGGCGGCGAGUGGCGAACGGGUGAGUAAUGUAUCGGAACGUACCAUUCAGUGGGGGAUAACGCAGCGAAAGUUGCGCUAAUACCGCAUAUUCUGUGCGCAGGAAAGCAGGGGAUCGCAAGACCUUGCGCUGCUUGAGCGGCCGAUAUCAGAUUAGCUAGUUGGUGAGGUAAAGGCUCACCAAGGCGACGAUCUGUAGCGGGUCUGAGAGGAUGAUCCGCCACACUGGAACUGAGACACGGUCCAGACUCCUACGGGAGGCAGCAGUGGGGAAUUUUGGACAAUGGGCGCAAGCCUGAUCCAGCCAUGCCGCGUGAGUGAAGAAGGCCUUCGGGUUGUAAAGCUCUUUCGGCCGGGAAGAAAUCGCAUGGGUUAAUACCCUGUGCGGAUGACGGUACCGGCAUAAGAAGCACCGGCUAACUACGUGCCAGCCGCCGCAGUAA